CCUGGGGCUGGAGAAGGUCCCAAGGGUUGGGCUGUUCGCCCAUUAAAGUGGCACGCGAGCUGGGUUCAGAACGUCGUGAGACAGUUCGGUCCCUAUCUGUUGUGGGCGUUAGAAGCUUGAGAGGAUCUGACUUUAGUACGAGAGGACCGAGUUGGACGAACCUCUGGUGUACCUGUUGUGGUGUCAGCUGCAUUGCAGGGUAGCUAUGUUCGGAAGGGAUAAGCACUGAAAGCAUCUAAGUGCGAAACCCACCUCGAGAUGAGGCUUCUAUAUAAGGGUCGUCAGAGACGAUGACGUUGAUAGGCUGCAGGUGUAAAGUCAGAGAUGGCAAAGCUGAGCAGUACUAAUUACCCGAAAACUUCCA
RNAcentral lists this ribosomal RNA (364 nucleotides) under Thalassovita sp. RNAcentral's name for it is "bacterial LSU rRNA". It matches the Rfam family "Bacterial large subunit ribosomal RNA", at positions 2546 to 2925 of the family's 2925-position model. The record is from RNAcentral. Lineage: Bacteria; Pseudomonadati; Pseudomonadota; Alphaproteobacteria; Rhodobacterales; Roseobacteraceae.